AGAGUUUGAUCCUGGCUCAGGACGAACGCUGGCGGCGUGCUUAACACAUGCAAGUCGAACGAGGUAGCAAUACCUAGUGGCGGACGGGUGAGUAACGCGUGGGAAUCUGCCUUUAGAUGGGGGAUAACGAGCCGAAAGGUUCGCUAAUACCGCAUAUGCCGCAAGGUGAAAGGAGUAAUCCGUCUAAAGAUGAGCCCGCGUCCGAUUAGCUAGUUGGUGGGGUAAAGGCCUACCAAGGCGACGAUCGGUAGCUGGUCUGAGAGGAUGAUCAGCCACAAUGGGACUGAGACACGGCCCAUACUCCUACGGGAGGCAGCAGUGGGGAAUUUUACGCAAUGGGGGAAACCCUGACGUAGCGACACCGCGUGAGCGAAGAAGCCCCUUGGGGUGUAAAGCUCUGUCAGCUGGAACGAAACAAAUGACGGUACCAGCAGAGGAAGCAUCGGCUAACUACGUGCCAGCAGCCGCGGUAAGACGUAGGAUGCGAGCGUUGUCCGGAUUUAUUGGGCGUAAAGAGUUCGUAGGUGGUUUGUUAAGUUUGAUGUUAAAGAUCGGGGCUCAACCUCGGGACAGCAUUGAGUACUGGCAGACUUGAGUAUGGUAGAGGCUAGUGGAAUUCCCAGUGUAGCGGUGAAAUGCGUAGA
Molecule: ribosomal RNA, 644 nt
Filed under: uncultured bacterium
Lineage: Bacteria
Description: bacterial SSU rRNA
Rfam family: Bacterial small subunit ribosomal RNA
Source: RNAcentral